AGCGGUAAGGCCCUUCGGGGUACACGAGCGGCGAACGGGUGAGUAACACGUGAGCAACCUGCCCCUGACUCCGGGAUAAGCGGUGGAAACGCCGUCUAAUACCGGAUAUGACACACCAUCUCCUGGUGGUGUGUGGAAAGUUUUAUCGGUCAGGGAUGGGCUCGCGGCCUAUCAGCUUGUUGGUGGGGUAAAGGCCUACCAAGGCGAUUACGGGUAGCCGGCCUGAGAGGGCGACCGGCCACACUGGGACUGAGACACGGCCCAGACUCCUGCGGGAGGCAGCAGUGGGGAAUAUUGCACAAUGGGCGAAAGCCUGAUGCAGCGACGCCGCGUGGGGGAUGACGGCCUUCGGGUUGUAAACCUCUUUUACCACCAACGCAGGCCCCGGGUUCUCUCGGGGUUGACGGUAGGUGGGGAAUAAGGACCGGCUAACUACGUGCCAGCAGCCGCGGUAAUACGUAGGGUCCGAGCGUUGUCCGGAAUUAUUGGGCGUAAAGAGCUCGUAGGCGGCGUGUCGCGUCUGCUGUGAAAGACCGGGGCUUAACCCCGGUUCUGCAGUGGAUACGGGCAUGCUAGAGGUAGGUAGGGGAGACUGGAAUUCCUGGUGUAGCGGUGAAAUGCGCAGAUAUCAGGAGGAACACCGGUGGCGAAGGCGGGUCUCUGGGCCUUACCUGACGCUGAGGAGCGAAAGCAUGGGGAGCGAACAGGAUUAGAUAC
RNAcentral lists this ribosomal RNA (717 nucleotides) under Nocardiopsis terrae. RNAcentral's name for it is "bacterial SSU rRNA". It matches the Rfam family "Bacterial small subunit ribosomal RNA", at positions 65 to 785 of the family's 1533-position model. The record is from RNAcentral. Lineage: Bacteria; Bacillati; Actinomycetota; Actinomycetes; Streptosporangiales; Nocardiopsidaceae.